RNAcentral lists this ribosomal RNA (489 nucleotides) under uncultured bacterium. RNAcentral's name for it is "bacterial SSU rRNA". It matches the Rfam family "Bacterial small subunit ribosomal RNA", at positions 355 to 866 of the family's 1533-position model. The record is from RNAcentral.
UGGGGAAUAUUGCGCAAUGGGGGGAACCCUGACGCAGCAACGCCGCGUGAGCGAAGAAGGCCUUCGGGUUGUAAAGCUCAAUAGUAUGGGAAGAUAAUGACGGUACCAUACGAAAGCCCCGGCUAACUACGUGCCAGCAGCCGCGGUAAUACGUAGGGGGCGAGCGUUGUCCGGAAUUACUGGGMGUAAAGGGCGCGUAGGCGGUCUAACAAGUCAGAUGUGAAAAACCUGKGCUUAACCGAGGGAGUGCAUCUGAAACUAAGAGACUUGAGUCAAGGAGAGGAGAGCGGAAUUCCUGGUGUAGCGGUGAAAUGCGUAGAUAUCAGGAGGAAUACCAGUGGCGAAGGCGGCUCUCUGGACUUGAACUGACGMUGAGGCGCGAAAGSGKGGGGAGCAAACAGGAUUAGAUACCSUGGUAGUCCACGCCGUAAACGAUGGAUACUAGGYGUGGGUGUGACAACAUCCGUGCCGSAGUUAACGCAAUAAGUU